Molecule: long non-coding RNA, 1772 nt
Organism: Canis lupus familiaris (dog)
Lineage: Eukaryota; Metazoa; Chordata; Mammalia; Carnivora; Canidae
Exons: 5
Source: RefSeq, a predicted model, not a curated record
GGAACCACAUAAGGAAAUGAGGUUCAGAGACAUUUAUCGAGUUGUCUAAAGUCACGCAGCCAGAGCAGUGGCUGCUCUGGAAGAAGUCAAGCUGGCCUGGGGUGGAAAAGGUCUGCACGGAGAAGCCAGACUUCUUUUGUUGCAGCAAGUAAGGCUGGAAGACAGGGCUAGACACAGACAACGGAACGGUGUUGUUACUGAUCCUUCUUUGAUUCUAGAUUCCACUGUCUUCUAAAUGUGUGACCUCAGGCAAGUUGCUUAACCUCUCUGAGCUUUGGAUCCCUCAUCAUUCAACUGAGGAUAAUCAGACUGAUUCCACAUGCUUCCUACCACGUGAUGCUGCCGCCCUGGCCACAACUUGGAUCACCAAUGGCCUCUUGUGAUCCUCUGUAGAAUGCCAGCUGCCUGAAAGUAGGUUGUGAGCCUCACCAAUGGGAAUGUCUAGCUGGGAUAGUUACUAAGCCAUCAGAGCUUCUGACGGGACAUUGGAAUGGGAGAUACUCUGAGAGGAUCCAGAGAAUGAGGUGGUCCAGAGCCUAGAGACAGAGAGAGGGAUAUGUGGAAGCCGGUAGUAAACAAAAACAUCGUGACGGGGGAAAGAAGAGUGGGGAGGUCAGUCUUGUGGUGGCAGCGCUCAUGAUAAAUAGAGGCAUUUGCAAAGAGAGGGCAGUCAUGGAGGCCCUGAGGCUGCAAGAGCCACCGAUAGGCAGGCAGGCUACGAGGAAGAUGGGAAGGGAAUGAUUUGAAGCUGAGAACAGCAGCGGGAGGGGUGGGAGUACAGGUGGAAGAGGAGCCUGGACAGAGGUACAAGUUCCCGGGUUGCUCUAGGGUCCCUCCAGCUGCUGUGGCCUCCACAGCCUCCUCAGACAGCUGGGUUGCCACCACCUCAGCAUACUCUGGCAGCUGUUUUCUCAAACAAGCUCUGGGUAUCUUGUAGAGACAGAGAAAAAAAAUACAACGUGGCCUUUCCCCCCAGGGAGUGCUUCAUCUCGUUCUCAUAGAAGUAGAGCUAAUACGGAACACACAAAAUCAAGUGGUGGCGACACCCACACACUUCCUAACUGGGCAGACGUGGACUUCAGUCCUAGCUCUGCCAUCUGCUGACCGUGGAAGCUGGGAAGAAGCUGGUGAUCCCCGCGGGGCUCCUCGUGCUCCUGGGGGGCGCAGGUGCGCAGGGCCCACGGGCCUGGCCUGUCCCACGGCCACAUCACACUCGUCCUAGUUUCCGGGCCUUCCCCCACUGUGCCCUGCUGGGAUGCAGCCCCCUUUUGCUCUGGGAGACGAGACGAAAGCCGAGGGAGAGAGAAGACCAGAAACACACGUCGAGAAAGGCUGCCUCCAGUUAUCCCGGCGAGGGGGCCCCAGGGCCCAACUUCCUUGACCGAGACUCGCACCAGUGCCUCCCGGGCCCGCUGGCACGAGGCCACCGUGAGCUGCGCGCCCGCCCGGCACCGGGCCUCUGCGAGCGGCCUCCGCGCUGGAGAGGGACCGAGGGACAAGGACGCUCCAGCUGCAGGCCAGUUCCUAGAAAGUCCGAUGAAAUGGAUGUCAUUCCUUUGCUCCAAGAAGUGCUUACUAGGCACCCACAAUGAUUUCGGAGUCACCCUGGGGGAGGCGCACCUGUCCCACCGCGGAGGCCACCUCCAUGCGUGCAGCAGGUGGAAGAGCAGUAGGCACUUUCCCCGAUGGUAAGCGCCGUCUCCUGCGCUGCUGGUGCCCCCUGAAAUCCCAUUCCUGCUGCUCCUGCACCCUGGUAAAGCGGUGUCGUGACA